UACAGAGGGGGCAAGCGUUGUUCGGAAUUACUGGGCGUAAAGCGCACGCAGGCGGCGCAGCAAGUUCGACGUGAAAGCUCCCGGCUUAACUGGGAGAGGUCGUUGAAGACUGCUGUGCUUGAGGCAAUGAGAGGGGUGUAGAAUUCCCGGUGUAGUGGUGGAAUGCGUAGAUAUCGGGGGGAAUACCAGUGGCGAAAGCGGCACCCUAGCAUUAGCCUGACGCUCAUGUGCGAAAGCGUGGGGAGCGAACGGG
RNAcentral lists this ribosomal RNA (253 nucleotides) under uncultured bacterium. Its description in RNAcentral is "partial 16S ribosomal RNA". It matches the Rfam family "Bacterial small subunit ribosomal RNA", at positions 524 to 776 of the family's 1533-position model. The record is from RNAcentral.